This 535-nucleotide ribosomal RNA is filed under the name uncultured soil bacterium. Its description in RNAcentral is "bacterial SSU rRNA". It matches the Rfam family "Bacterial small subunit ribosomal RNA", at positions 8 to 524 of the family's 1533-position model. The record is from RNAcentral.
AGAGUUUGAUCCUGGCUCAGAAUCAACGCUGGCGGCGUGCCUAACACAUGCAAGUCGAACGCGAAAAGGGCUUCGGCUCUUAGUAGAGUGGCGAACGGGUGAGUAACACGUGGGUGACCUACCUUCGAAUGGGGGAUAACGUCCCGAAAGGGACGCUAAUACCGCAUAACAUCCUGCUUUUGAACAGGUGGAGAUCAAAGCCGGGGAUCGCAAGACCUGGCGUUUGAAGAGGGGCCCGCGUCUGAUUAGCUAGUUGGUGAGGUAACGGCCCACCAAGGCGACGAUCAGUAUCCGGCCUGAGAGGGCGGACGGACACACUGGGACUGAGACACGGCCCAGACUCCUACGGGAGGCAGCAGUGGGGAAUUGUUCGCAAUGGGCGCAAGCCUGACGACGCAACGCCGCGUGGAGGAUGAAGGUCUUCGGAUUGUAAACUCCUGUUGCUCGGGACGAAAAGCUUCGACCUAACACGUCGAAGUCUGACGGUACCGGGUGAGGAAGCCCCGGCUAACUCCGUGCCAGCAGCCGCGGUAAU